RNAcentral lists this ribosomal RNA (493 nucleotides) under uncultured bacterium. RNAcentral's name for it is "bacterial SSU rRNA". It matches the Rfam family "Bacterial small subunit ribosomal RNA", at positions 29 to 523 of the family's 1533-position model. The record is from RNAcentral.
AACGAACGUUGGCGGCGUGCUUUAAACACAUGCAAAGUCGAAACGAGAAACGGUCUAGCUUGCUAGAUGCAGUCUAAGUGGCGCACGGGUGAGUAAUAUAUAGGUAAUAUGCCUCUUACUAAGGGAUAACAGAUGGAAACGUCUGCUAAUACCUUAUAUGCCUUUAGGACUAAAGUCCGCAAGGGAAAGAUUUAUCGGUAAGAGAUUAGCCUGUACAGUAUCAGUUAGUUGGUGAGGUAAUGGCUCACCAAGACUAAUGACACUUAACUGGUUUGAGAGGAUGAUCAGUCACACUGGAACUGAGACACGGUCCAGACUCCUACGGGAGGCAGCAGUGGGGAAUAUUGCACAAUGGACGGAAGUCUGAUGCAGCAACGCCGCGUGGAGGAAUGACACAUUUCGGUUGCGUAAACUACCUUUUACUUAUGUAGAAGAUAAUGACGGUAUCAUAUGAAUAAGCACCGGCUAACUCCGUCGGCCAGCGAGCCGGUAC